This 3188-nucleotide long non-coding RNA is filed under the name Nicotiana benthamiana. RNAcentral's name for it is "long non-coding RNA (NBEN_LNC023485)". Lineage: Eukaryota; Viridiplantae; Streptophyta; Magnoliopsida; Solanales; Solanaceae. The record is from RNAcentral.
CCCAGCCGCAAUACACAAUAGUCCCCUCAGCUGCUGAACUUCAUUUUCUUCACACCUUGAGCAACGAACAAACAAAAAAAAAUAGACCCCAUCAACGACCAAGAUCUUUUAACCCACAAUACAAAUCAGCCGUGAACACACACACAGAAUGCCCUCUCCUGAACUUCUUCUUCAAAGAAAUUUUCUCUUUAAAUUUCUAUUAAAACUCAACUGUCAAUAUUACCCCACCAUAUUUUAAAACCUAAAGAGAAACCCUCUCCUUCAUACAACAUAAAACACUAGAGAUGUAGGACCCCAGCAGCAAUACACAAUAGUCCCCUUAGCUCUUGAGCUUCAUUUUCUCCACACGUUGAGCAACGAACAAACACAAAAAAAUAGACCCCAUCGACGACCAAGACCUUUUAACCCACAAUAUAAAUUAGCCGUGAACACACACAGAGAAUGUCCUCCCCUGAACUUCUUCUUCAAAGAAAUUUUCUCUUUAAAUUUCCAUUAAAACUCAAGUGUCAACAUUAAACCACAAGGAAACUCAAAAAUCGGCCAAGAACUCUAGCUUUGAAAUGCAACGAAACAGUCCUAAAAAGAAGCAGAAUUAGCUGUAAAACUCGACUGAAAUCGAUCCCAAAAUCAGAUCUAAACAACUACCAAAUUUGUCACCGUCGAGAUUUGGGUUUUUCUGUCGAGUUUAGAAAGCCGUGUUCGAGUUCCCAUUGCCGUCGAUGCUUCUUUUUUCUUGCGGUCUCUAAGGCUCCUCUUUUCUACUUUGAAGGUUCAUCCUUAACUUUAUCUCUUAGCUUGAAUAGUUUCAGUUUUGACUAUAUUUCGGAUCUUAUUUUUGUUAAUAUUUGUAGCUAUUUUGUUAUUCAUGAUUCAUUAGUUAAAUUAGUACAUGUGUUAGAAUAGUUUUGUCUAAUGUAAUCCUAAGUUUAUGAAUGUUAAUUUGAAAUGAAAUACAUGCUGUUGAUUAUUGAAAUAUGGACAAUUCUCACAUUUUUAUUUGGCCUCGUAUUCGAAUUUAAUAAUUCACUCCAUAGUUUAGCUUGUGCUUAUUUAUUUCAAUUAUAAUGUAAGUAUAGUGAAGUAUGUUCUCUUUUCUGUUAGGCUAAAUUUCGGCAAAACUAUGUGGAUAUGGCUUGUUUAGGCAGGGACAUUGUUGAUGCAGUAGUUCCAAUUCUUGUGACAUUUGGAGAAGAGCAGCGUCUCUGGUUUCGGGUUUACGGAUGUUUCCAUUUUUCUUCUCCAAUGUUGAAUUCUGCUUCUGUAAUGCUAACUCUGAUUCAUACACAUCCAUCCAAACUAUCCGAGAUUAUCGUUUUGUUCACCCAUUUUGCAUAGAGUUCAUUAAUCUCAAAAUGUUAGGAAAAUAUUUAACAUCUUAGCUUGUUGUAGGCAUGAUUUAAUAUAUUGUCGUGAUUGUGUACACGUCCUCGUGACAUAAUUAAGAUUUUAAAAAUAAAAUCAAAGUAUGCAUUUUAGAAACUUCGACUAAACUUUCUUUAUAAUAACAAAGCGUUACUAAUUGUGGACAUAUUUGCGUGACGUGAUUUGUGAUGCUCCAAACAAAUGGGUAUACGUAUGUGUGACUCGCUUUAGGAUAAUUUCUUAAUUAAUAGAGGUAAAUGCACAUAGAUUCUAAAAUAAGUAAUUAGACAAUUUAAUUAAGCCAAAUAUUAUCAAAGCGACCGUGCUAAAACCGUAGAACCCAAGAUUGCCUAACACCUUCUCCCAGGUUAACAAAAUUUCUUGCCCCAAUUUUAUGUUCAUUGACCAUAAAUAAGAGUCAAAAUCUUCCUCGAUUCGGGACCGGUGACAUGGGACACCAUAAAUUAUCCCAAGCGGUGACUCUGAUUUUAAUAUGAAUAAUCCUGUUUUGAUUGUCACAUUAAUUAGAAAAAACUCCCUUAUAUAUAUAUGCUUUUAUGGGGGUAGUAAUAAAGAGGUGUGACAGCUAUGAUUAUGGAACUAGAUGUCGCUCCACCUGCUCAACCAGCUUGAGGUGGAUGUCGGGGAGGUAGAGGUUACCCUAGAGGGAGAGGCCAGGCUAGAUACUAUGCCCUUCUUGCUUGUACAGAGGUUGUUUCUUCCAAUUCUGUCAUUACAUGUAUUGUUCUGGUUCGUCAUAAAGAUGCAUCGGUUCUAUUCGAUCCAUGCUUCACUUAUUCCUAUGUGUUCUCUUAUUUUGACCCGUAUUUGGGCGUAUCUUGGGAUUCUUUGAGUUACCGUGUUUAUGUGUCUAUUCUUGCGGAAGAUUCUCUUGUUGUGGAUUGCUUGUAUGGGCCAUGUUUGAUUACUCUUAGUGAUUUUGAGAUCACAGUCGAUUUAUUAUUGAUCAGCAUUGUAGAUAUUUAUGUUAUCUUGGGUAUGGACUGGUUGUCACCCCAUUAUACAAUUCUUGAUUGUCACGCUAAGACCAUGAUGCUCUCUAUACACAGUGUGGUAGUUAGAGUAGAUUGGUACCUUAGAUUUCACUCCUAGAAGAUUUAUUUCAUUUCUUAAAGCUUAACGAAUGGUUGAGAAGGGGUGUGAUGUGUAUCUAGCCUAUGCAAAAGAUGUCAGUAUUGAAACUCAUAUAGUUGAGUUAGUCCUAAUAGUGAGGGAUUUCCCCGAUGUGUUUCCAGCAGAUCUUCUAGGCAUGCCCCUCGACAAAGAUAUUGAUUUUGGCAUAGAUUUGUUGCUUGGCACUCAUCCCAUCUAUAUUCCUCCUUAUCAUGUGGACCCUUCUAAGUUGAAGGAGUUGAAAGAAAAGUUGUAGGAAUUGCUUGAUAAGGGCUUCAUUCAGCCCAAUGUGUCACCUUGGGAUAUCCCUAUCUUAUUUUUGAAGAAGGGUGGUUCUAUGCUUAUGUGCAUUGAUUAUCACUAGUUGAACAAAGUUAAAGUGAAGAAUAGUAUCAUUUGCCUCGUAUUAAUGAAAUAUUUGAUCAGUUAUAUGGUGGCCAAGUAUUUUCCAAGAAUAAUUUACAUUUAGGUUUUCAUCAGUUGAAGAUUCGAAAGCUAGAUGUCUCGAAUAUUGAUUUUAGGACUCGGUAUGAUCAUUACGAGUUCCUUGUGAUGUCCAUUGGGCUGACCAACACCCCAACAACAUUUAUGCAUCUGAUGCACAGUAAUUUUGGCCUUAUCUAGAUACUUUCGUCAUUGUAUUUAUUAUUGGUGUACUUUCAGAGUCGUGAAGAUCAUGAGCACCACCUGGG